AACGUGAUAAGGCUACUUUAACAACUGCCUUGAUAACUGCAUUCCUUGAUAACCACGAUGCGUUAUAUUUGUUGAUACCUUGGGCGACUUGAAGGUUUGGGCGAGAGUAGAAUAACAGCUCUGGGCGACCGUAUGACACUCCAUUCGUUCAGAUUCUGGGCGACUUGCAAACUUGGGCGAUGGCGUUACCGCAUUCUUGGGCCCCUUAUUUGGGCCUUCACCUUGAUUCGUUCGAUUGGACUUCGUUCUUUGGGCUAUCCGAUUUGGGGAUCCUUCAAUUGGGCUUUACUCCUUGGGC
RNAcentral lists this long non-coding RNA (298 nucleotides) under Olea europaea (common olive). Its description in RNAcentral is "long non-coding RNA (OEUR_LNC015414)". Lineage: Eukaryota; Viridiplantae; Streptophyta; Magnoliopsida; Lamiales; Oleaceae. The record is from RNAcentral.